CAGUCGCCGCGGUAAUACGUAGGGUGCAAGCGUUAUCCGGAAUUAUUGGGCGUAAAGAGCUCGUAGGCGGUUUGUCGCGUCUGCUGUGAAAACUGGAGGCUCAACCUCCAGCCUGCAGUGGGUACGGGCAGACUAGAGUGCGGUAGGGGAGAUUGGAAUUCCUGGUGUAGCGGUGGAAUGCGCAGAUAUCAGGAGGAACACCGAUGGCGAAGGCAGAUCUCUGGGCCGUAACUGACGCUGAGGAGCGAAAGCGUGGGGAGCGAACAGGAUUAGAUACCCCGGUAGUCCCUGUCUCUUAUAC
RNAcentral lists this ribosomal RNA (301 nucleotides) under uncultured bacterium. Its description in RNAcentral is "partial 16S ribosomal RNA". It matches the Rfam family "Bacterial small subunit ribosomal RNA", at positions 509 to 807 of the family's 1533-position model. The record is from RNAcentral.